RNAcentral lists this ribosomal RNA (163 nucleotides) under Athamanta sicula. Its description in RNAcentral is "5.8S ribosomal RNA". It matches the Rfam family "5.8S ribosomal RNA". From Rfam's summary of the family: 5.8S ribosomal RNA (5.8S rRNA) is a component of the large subunit of the eukaryotic ribosome. It is transcribed by RNA polymerase I as part of the 45S precursor that also contains 18S and 28S rRNA. The record is from RNAcentral. Lineage: Eukaryota; Viridiplantae; Streptophyta; Magnoliopsida; Apiales; Apiaceae. RNAcentral also lists the same sequence under 1 other name.
CAAACGACUCUCGGCAACGGAUAUCCCGGCUCUCGCAUCGAUGAAGAACGUAGCGAAAUGCGAUACUUGGUGUGAAUUGCAGAAUCCCGUGAACCAUUGAGUCUUUGAACGCAAGUUGCGCCUGAAGCCACUAGGCCGAGGGCACGUCUGCUUGGGUGUCACG